CAGGGGUGCGCCCGUGUGCGUGCGUGCGUGCGUGCGGCGGGACCCGCGCCGCCGCCGUUCGGCCGCCGCGCUUCGGCCUUCUUCCUCAGCGGCUGCGAGCGUCGCCGCGGGGCAUGCUGGGAAGUGGAGUCCCGCGCGCCGGCUCCGACCCCGCCCCGCGGAGUGGGGGCGCGGGCCAAGCUGCGUGCGUGCGCGUGCUGAGAGCGUGUGUGCAUGCGCGGCCGCGCGGGGCGCGUGCGCGACCGGGAGCUCUGGGCUAGGCACUGCGGGACGCAGGCGCGGCUGCGGCUUCCUUGUUCGGUCUCGAGUGGGGGCCGGCGGACGCGGGUGGAGUUAGCUCCGGAUGUUGGCCACGCUCUCACGUCGCCAGACCGCAGGAGGCGGGGGCCCUACGUUCAGCUCCCUCACCUCAGCUGCUCCAGCUGCCCCAGAAGAUACCGACGGUCAGAGAGGCUGAAUCACCGGCCCAAGGAAGGAGCUGCGGGCUGCUCUGGAAGGGGGCUUGGAAGCUUUCUGUUCAGGGCCACACAGUAAAUGUUUUCGGCUCUGAAGGUCCGUGGCAAUGACUCUGUGCUGUUAUAAUCGGAAAGCACCAGAGUUUAUAUGGAAACGAAUAGCUGUGACUAUCAACUUUUUUUUUUUUUGACUAUCAACUUUAUUUACAGCCACACCAAUGUGACUGUCAUAUAAUUUCCAUGUGUCUCAAAAUACUUUGAUUUUCAUUCAACCAUUUAAAGAUGUAAAAAAAACAUUCUUAGCUCACGUACAUCCUUGCCUGCUUAGUCACUCAGUUAUAUUUGACUCUUUAUGAUCCCAUGGACUGUACCCCACCAGGCUCCUCUGUCCAUGGGAUUUCCCAGGCAAGACUACUGGAGUGGGUUGCCAUUCCCUUCUCUAGAGGAUCUUCCCCAUCAGGGAUCAAACCUGCAUCUCCUGUGUCUCCUGCAUUGGCAGGCAGAUUCUUUAUCUACUGAUGCUAUAACAAAACCACAGAAAGGGGAUGUGACCCGCAGGCCAGAGUUUGCCAACUCUAUAACGUUGGACUCUUUUGUUCAACUGUGUCACCUUUCUAAUCAGAAAAUAAAUAUUUUCCUUCUUUUAAAACAUCUUUGAAGACUGCAGUCUGGAGUCAGGUACACACCUGUUCCCAUCCUCUCUGCCACUGAUUCACUGUGUGUCCCUGAGAAAGUCAC
RNAcentral lists this long non-coding RNA (1193 nucleotides) under Cervus hanglu yarkandensis (Yarkand deer). RNAcentral's name for it is "lncRNA (ENSCHYG00000009495.1)". The record is from RNAcentral. Lineage: Eukaryota; Metazoa; Chordata; Mammalia; Artiodactyla; Cervidae.